Long non-coding RNA from Anoplophora glabripennis (Asian longhorned beetle), 667 nucleotides. RefSeq lists it as uncharacterized. The transcript has 2 exons. NCBI's taxonomy places the organism in Eukaryota, Metazoa, Arthropoda, Insecta, Coleoptera, Cerambycidae. The record is from RefSeq and is a predicted model, not a curated record.
AUAUCUAGUAGUAACAAAUAUGUUUUAUAUAUAGAGUAUAUUCUAGUCAAUAUAAGUAAUUUACACUAUUUAGUCAGUAUAAUAAUAUAAGGUGGCUUCUCUGUUAAUGUUUUUAUAAUUCCAAUAGAACAACUAUUGAAAAUGUGGAUGCAUUAUGCUAGUCAAAAUUGGACCGAUGCUGAGGACCUCCAGUCAGCCGUAAAGAGAUUGAUGAACGAGCUAGAUUGUGUGGCAAUAGAUUGUCUUCACGCAUCUAAUUAUGACAUGAAUUACUGCUUCUCUGAAGAAAAAAUUAAACAGUUGGAGGAGGAUUAUGAAAAACAUCGCCGUGGUGCAUCAUUAUGUAGUAAUUAUUUAAGUGAAACUAUAAAUUUGGACAAUUUUUGUGUGAAAAUGGUGGAGAUAGGACUAAAACAAUUUGUUAUUUCUAAUUUGUUGGAUUAUCUACCAUAUGCAACUGUUGUAAAAUACAAAUUAGCAGCUCAAGAAAAUAAUGCUGGUAAUGAAGAUGAUAUAUAACAUAUCAUUAAAUUUUUAUGUAAUUUAUAUAUUAUCUUAAAAUUGUAUAAUAUUAUAUAUCUAAUAUUAACAAAUUUUAUUGUAUUAACUAUUUGUCUUUUAUUGUAAUGUGGAAUAAACAAUAUAAAUAUAAAUAUUUUUUAACUUU